Molecule: ribosomal RNA, 572 nt
Filed under: uncultured bacterium
Lineage: Bacteria
Description: bacterial SSU rRNA
Rfam family: Bacterial small subunit ribosomal RNA
Source: RNAcentral
GGGAGGCAGCAGUGGGGAAUCUUAGACAAUGGGCGCAAGCCUGAUCUAGCCAUGCCGCGUGUGUGAUGAAGGCCUUAGGGUCGUAAAGCACUUUCGCUAGGGAUGAUAAUGACAGUACCUAGUAAAGAAACCCCGGCUAACUCCGUGCCAGCAGCCGCGGUAAUACGGAGGGGGUUAGCGUUGUUCGGAAUUACUGGGCGUAAAGCGUACGUAGGCGGAUCAGAAAGUAGGGGGUGAAAUCCCGAGGCUCAACCUCGGAACUGCCUCCUAAACUCCUGGUCUUGAGUUCGAGAGAGGUGAGUGGAAUUCCAAGUGUAGAGGUGAAAUUCGUAGAUAUUUGGAGGAACACCAGUGGCGAAGGCGGCUCACUGGCUCGAUACUGACGCUGAGGUACGAAAGUGUGGGGAGCAAACAGGAUUAGAUACCCUGGUAGUCCACACCGUAAACGAUGAAUGCCAGUCGUCGGGUAGCAUGCUAUUCGGUGACACACCUAACGGAUUAAGCAUUCCGCCUGGGGAGUACGGUCGCAAGAUUAAAACUCAAAGGAAUUGACGGGGACCCGCACAAAAGGG